GGGACAGAAAGAAAGCAUAAUUAAAUUAAGUAUUGCAUCCACUGGCAAGUACACAAACAUCUGAGCAAUAAAUGAUUGUGUCAAUGCUGUGAUCCUCUUUCAAUAGAAUGUAUAAUCCUGUGAAGAAUAUUUCUUCAGUCA
This is a long non-coding RNA of Thalassophryne amazonica, 141 nucleotides long. RefSeq lists it as uncharacterized. The record is from RefSeq and is a predicted model, not a curated record. NCBI's taxonomy places the organism in Eukaryota, Metazoa, Chordata, Actinopteri, Batrachoidiformes, Batrachoididae. The transcript has 3 exons.